GUGCUCACUUCGGCAGCACAUAUACUAAAAUUAGCACAAUACAGAAAAGAUUAGCAUGGCCCCUGCACAAGGAUGACAUGCAAAUUUCUGAAGCGUUUCUUAUUUUU
Molecule: small nuclear RNA, 107 nt
Filed under: Prolemur simus (greater bamboo lemur)
Lineage: Eukaryota; Metazoa; Chordata; Mammalia; Primates; Lemuridae
Source: RNAcentral